RNAcentral lists this ribosomal RNA (263 nucleotides) under uncultured bacterium. Its description in RNAcentral is "partial 16S ribosomal RNA". It matches the Rfam family "Bacterial small subunit ribosomal RNA", at positions 793 to 1055 of the family's 1533-position model. The record is from RNAcentral.
GUCCACGCUGUAAACGAUGAACACUAGGUGUCGUGGGUAUUGACCCCGCGGUGCCGCAGCUAACGCAUUAAGUGUUCCGCCUGGGAAGUACGGUCGCAAGACUAAACUCAAAGGAAUUGACGGGCCCGCACAAGCGGUGGAGCAUGUGGUUUAAUUCGACGCAACGCGCAGAACCUUACCUGGGCUGGAAAGUCAUCGGAAGCUUGGUGAAAGCCGAGUGUGCCCGCAAGGGAGCCGGUGGACAGGUGCUGCAUGGCUGUCGU